This 376-nucleotide unclassified non-coding RNA is filed under the name Hevea brasiliensis (rubber tree). Lineage: Eukaryota; Viridiplantae; Streptophyta; Magnoliopsida; Malpighiales; Euphorbiaceae. The record is from RNAcentral.
GGAAAAUAAGGUAUCUUUUGCAUUUCCUUCUUAUUUCCAACAUUCAUUGCACUUUUUUCUUUUAACUUAUAUUGUUUGCAAAUUCCACUGGUGGCACCUGGCCACCAUCAAACUUGUGGUAUAUUAGUGAGAGUCAUGUUGGCGAUAUGUUUCCUCUGUUCACUUUGAUACUGACCUUUGCUUGAAUGCAUAAUAUGCAUGUUGUAUAGAGUAUUGUAUAUGUUUAAUCCAUCUCUGUCCCUUUGCUUGAACUUUGCUGUUGAAUUAUUCCUUAUUUUGCUCUUUUUUUUUGUGUUCCUAACAUCGUCUCUUCUCUGUUUGGUCUUUGAUUUUUGUUUAAAAAUUGUGUUUCAGGUUGCUGUUAAUACAAUUAUUC